AUUGAACGCUGGCGGCAGGCCUAACACAUGCAAGUCGAGCGGAUGAAGGGAGCUUGCUCCUGGAUUCAGCGGCGGACGGGUGAGUAAUGCCUAGGAAUCUGCCUUGUAGUGGGGGAUAACGUCCGGAAACGGGCGCUAAUACCGCAUACGUCCUGAUGGAGAAAGUGGGGGAUCUUCGGACCUCACGCUAUCAGAUGAGCCUAGGUCGGAUUAGCUAGUUGGUGGGGUAAAGGCCUACCAAGGCGACGAUCCGUAACUGGUCUGAGAGGAUGAUCAGUCACACUGGAACUGAGACACGGUCCAGACUCCUACGGGAGGCAGCAGUGGGGAAUAUUGGACAAUGGGCGAAAGCCUGAUCCAGCCAUGCCGCGUGUGUGAAGAAGGUCUUCGGAUUGUAAAGCACUUUAAGUUGGGAGGAAGGGAAGUAAGUUAAUACCUUGCUGUUUUGACGGUACCAACAGAAUAAGCACCGGCUAACUUCGUG
RNAcentral lists this ribosomal RNA (484 nucleotides) under uncultured bacterium. RNAcentral describes it as "partial 16S ribosomal RNA". It matches the Rfam family "Bacterial small subunit ribosomal RNA", at positions 30 to 507 of the family's 1533-position model. The record is from RNAcentral.